RNAcentral lists this ribosomal RNA (74 nucleotides) under Schizophyllum sp. DK12. RNAcentral describes it as "5.8S ribosomal RNA". It matches the Rfam family "5.8S ribosomal RNA", at positions 85 to 154 of the family's 154-position model. From Rfam's summary of the family: 5.8S ribosomal RNA (5.8S rRNA) is a component of the large subunit of the eukaryotic ribosome. It is transcribed by RNA polymerase I as part of the 45S precursor that also contains 18S and 28S rRNA. Lineage: Eukaryota; Fungi; Basidiomycota; Agaricomycetes; Agaricales; Schizophyllaceae. The record is from RNAcentral.
UGAAUCAUCGAAUCUUUGAACGCACCUUGCGCCCUUUGGUAUUCCGAGGGGCAUGCCUGUUUGAGUGUCAUUAA